CCCGUCUUGUCCUCUCACAGCACUGGCCACACCCAUGUACACACACACACACACACACACAUACACACACACACAUACACACACACACAUACACACACACACACACACAAACCUGUGCUGACGUUUCGCAAUUUUCUUCGGUGGGUUUUGCCAUACGCCGCUUUCCGUGGCAGAGGCGGGUGGACGCACCACGUCGAGUGGCAAGUGCACAACCACACACGCACACGCACAAGGGCACGGUGCCCCGCCCCCUUUGUUUUUCCGGCUUUGCUGUGUGCGGGAGGAGGGGGACGUGGGGGGCGUGUCGGAUCGGCAAAGCGCCUGCGCCACGUCCGCACUGAGUGACGGCGCAGCGCGUUCGUGCUGUGAUUCGGUUUUGUACCCGGCGCCCCUCUGCGUUGCCUCCAUCUCUCGUUCUCAUCUUUCGUGUAGGCUUGGCCAUGUCCGCGGUGGCGUCCACCUAUUCCUCCGCGCAGGCUGCCGCUGCACCACCAACGGCUCCGCCCCCCACGGAGGAUGAGGCCGCGUCGUACACAAGCUCUAUUGUUCAGCUCCCACCGACCGUGCCGGAGCUGAUCCAGUGCCUGGAGCAGCAGCACGAGCGAUGCGCGCAGCUGACGCGCUGCCUCGAGCGCGUGCACACGCAGACGAGCCGACUGGUGUCAAGCAGGGCCGGAACACCUGCGGGGGAUCAGUAUAACGCCCUCUUUUCUGCUGCUGCAGACGGCGUUGCCAAGUCGAGCUCCCCACUCGCUGGGUGUUCGCCGACAACGUCGACACCGCCGCCGCCACCCUCUUUUGCCUUACAAGUCCGCCCGGCUGCUGACGCCAGCUCGGCCCCCGCCGCUGUCGUUGCGCGCGGCGUCCCUGCCACCACGGCGACGGGUGCUAGUCCGCCUGCGGCCCAUGCCGUUGCCGGCCGGGUAGUGCACGGCACGGCUGUGACCGGCAAGGUGGUGGGUGUGGCAGGUGCGGCUUCAACCACCACUGCUGUGCGCGCCGUGGUGGUGGCUGCGGAGCCGUCGACGAUGACGCCGAGCUGUGCGCCGGCAACUGCACCCUUCUCCGAAGAGGUUGCAGAGCUGCGAGUCAGGGCCGUUGCGUUGGAUGCUGCGCAAGGGCUUCUGACUAGCACUCAAAGUGAGCUGAGCACCACACAGACCGCACUGGCCAUGGAGAGGAAGCGGCUCGAGGCUGCGCUGGUGGAGCUUGCCGAGCUCCGCAAAGCGCUUCUCGCGGAUGUGAGCACCACCUCCCUGUCACUGCCACAAGCAGGCACCACGCCGGCUUCUCCGGCGCACCAACUCGCAGAUAUGCAGACGCGCUUGGCAGAGCGAGAGACGGAGGUGCGCGCGGCACGCCUGCGACACGAGAGCGCCGCGUACGCUCUGGCACAACUGCGGGAAGCUAUGUCCACCAUGAUGCGCGAGAAGGCGUUUUUGCAGGAGAAAAACGCGCACCUGGAGGGCCAGCUGCAGCGCCUCUUGACAAGCUCGAUGGAGGCGGCGGCCCACCCGGCACCACGUGCUGCAGCAGCGGCACCGCGGCUUACAGCCAGCGAGGCGUACCAGAAAGAGGCGCUGGAAAAGCAAAUCAGCGACUUGCAUGCCAUGGCCGACAGGCUCACGCGCGACGCAAAAAAGCAGGCGGCGCGGCGAGCCAAGGCGGAGGAGGUGGCGCAGGCCCUCCAGAAAGAGAACGCUGAGCUGAAGGCGUCAGCGCUGCUGUACCGCCGGCAAGUGAAUGAGAGCGAGCUGGAGCUGGAGCGGGCAAUCUCGCGCAAGGAGGAGGAUGAGCGACUCCGGCAGCUGGAGCGAGACGCAAACCGCCUGCGCAUCGCCUUGCGUGACCGUACCGCCCAGUACCAGCAGGAAAAGGCGAAAUGGGAGCGGCAGAUGCUCGCCUUGUCUCGGCAAGCACGUGUGAACGAAGCGGCAGCGAAGCAGCUGCUGAAGCGCGUGCUAGCCUGCCAGGUUCGAGAGGUGGUGUGGAAGCAGUGCCUACACUCCGCCACGCAACGCGGUGAUCGCGACAAGUCCACGACUACCGCGGCCGCGAAUGAGAGUUCGAAAGUGGCACCGGAGCCGGCCACACCGACUGUCGCUGCGGCAUCGUCGUCGACGUCGUCGCGCAUGGAGGACGCCGCCGUGACGACUCUCCGUGUCGCUUUGCCGUCGCCCUCUGUGCCCUACAGUCCGGUUUUCGGGGCCGCCGCAGACACAGCCGUGCUUGUGGACCGAGAGCGGCAACUCGAGGAGCUCAAGCACACCUUUGAACAACGCAUCGCGCUGGUGGAGGCGCAGCGGAAGGCUGAGAUGCAGCAGUUGCUAGCCCUCAACAAGGAGCUGCGCCAGGCGCUCACUGUGUCUCAGGACGGGUUGAGCGAGAAGACCAGGUUGCUCGAGGAGGUACAGCGCCGGUUACCGCCAUCCGCGGUGGCGCCGUUGAGCAACGCCCCCGCUGCGCCGACGACGACGUCGCAGCGCCCUUCCUUCUCGGGCAGCUGGCGAGACACGUCCGCGGCGUGGGUUUGCCGCAGCGACGGCGAAAACGGCCCUGUCGCCUCUUCUCUCGCCGACCUCGACAGCGGCGAUCCGCUCCCGUCGACGCACCUCCUCGUCGUUGCGUCUCCGCGGCAGGUCACCGACAUUGAACGGCGCUACAACCCGGAGCACAUGUCCACCUGGGAGGCGGUGCAGGUGGAGAACGAGGCGCUACUCGACCGUUUGACCACGAUGCAGGAGGAAAAGUGGAAGUUGACGACAAUGAUCGAGGACCUGCAGCUGCGGUGUGCCGCGCUGACGGGCGAGCUCAAGCGGAACGCCUCCACCAUGAACCAGCUGUUGGCGGCUGGGGUGUUGACCCCUGCAGCGGUGUCGCGUGGUGGUGAUGAGGGUCGACUACGCUCCCUGCAGUGUCUUCUGCAGGAGACGUUGCAAGCGAAGUUGGAGCUCGAGGAGCGGCUGCAGGAGGCAACGCGGCAGUUGCGGUGAGGGGCUGGCCGUGGAAAACGGCCCUCUUCUAAUAUCUGUCUCUCUGCCGCGCGGAAAGGGGUGGAGGCGAGACGCCGUAGCGGAUGCGCAUGCGCGCAUGUCUCGCCUGCGCCAUGGCCUUUGCUCGUGUGCUGCGCACGCCUCAGCUCCUUCCAAGCCGUCUGUGUGGUGCCUCCGCCUCUCCUAUGCACAUGCGUGGCUGUCUUCUGCUUUCUCUGUUUUUUUUUUCGUGGGACUUUUUGGGUUUUUGGUUGCGACGUGCGGCUCGUGGGAGUGUGGCACACACACAUGCACACAUACACGAGACCGUUGUCGUGGCGCUCAGCGUCUGACACCACCGUGCCGGCGGCCGCGUGACGCCUUCCAGGAAGCAGGCCUUGAGGUGCAUUGUUGAAAAGGGACGCGCCCGUGAGUGUUCGUGCACUUGCUGUGCCCGACCCUCCUCCUUCCCCUCCCCAAUGAGGCAGAACAGAGGGCGUUCUGAGUAAGCGAGUGGCGUGCCCUGAGUGACCGCGUUACCGUCUGUGUAAUGGUAUCUGGCUGACGUGUCGCACGCGUCUUUUCACUGGUUUCGCAGGUGGAGGUGUACGUGACCGGCAGCGAUGUCGUGCGACACCUCCUUCCGUAUUCCGCCUCCCUCCCUCGUGGUUUGCUCUGAUGAUGAUGCCCUCAUGACCUCCCCGCCACCGAUGUUUCUUUUAUUCCCCCCCCCCCCAUCUUUGUUUACCUAG
This 3724-nucleotide unclassified non-coding RNA is filed under the name Leishmania donovani. RNAcentral's name for it is "gene:LdHU3.25.0460(CDS-product:hypothetical_prote in_conserved)". Lineage: Eukaryota; Euglenozoa; Kinetoplastea; Trypanosomatida; Trypanosomatidae. The record is from RNAcentral.